Unclassified non-coding RNA from Cavia aperea (Brazilian guinea pig), 287 nucleotides. It matches the Rfam family "Metazoan signal recognition particle RNA". Rfam says of the family: The signal recognition particle (SRP) is a universally conserved ribonucleoprotein. The record is from Ensembl. NCBI's taxonomy places the organism in Eukaryota, Metazoa, Chordata, Mammalia, Rodentia, Caviidae.
GCCGGACGCGGUGGCGCGUGCCUGUAGUCCCAGCUACUCGGGAGGCUGAGGUGGGAGGAUCUCUUGAGUUCAGGAGUUCUGGGCUGCAGUGCGCUAUGCCGAUCAAGUGUCCGCACUAAGUUCAGCAUUAAUAUGGUGACCUCCCGGAAGUGGGGGACCACCAGGUUGCCUAAGGAGGGGUGAACCGGCCCAGGUCGGAAACGGAGCAGGUCAAAACUCCCGUGCUGAUCAGAACCUGGGCACAGCAGGUAGUGCUGAUAAGCUGGACAAAUCAAAGAAUAUCAUCA